GACAGAGGAGCCAAGCGUUGUCCGGAUUGACUGGGCGUAAAGCGCACGCAGGCGGUCGCGCGCGUGGGGUGUGAAAUCUGGCCGCUUAACGGCCAGGCGCCAUCCCAUACGGCGCGACUGGAGCCAUGCAGAGGGCGGUGGAAUUGCCGGUGUAGUGGUGAAAUGCGUAGAGAUCGGCAGGAACACCCAGGGGGAAACCAGCCGCCUGGGCAUGGGCUGACGCUGAGGUGCGAGAGCGUGGGGAGCGAACCGG
RNAcentral lists this ribosomal RNA (253 nucleotides) under uncultured bacterium. RNAcentral's name for it is "partial 16S ribosomal RNA". It matches the Rfam family "Bacterial small subunit ribosomal RNA", at positions 524 to 776 of the family's 1533-position model. The record is from RNAcentral.